UGAAUGGACUUGGGCAGUCUGGUCAGUGUCAGCAUGGGGCAUAGCUAAGGUGUGUGUAACAUGGCUGAAGGAAUAGGCAGAUAGCUGUCGCCUUAGAGGUGACAGUAUGUAACUGUGGGAGGUGACCAGAUGGUCAGGUGAGACAGGACAAAGAAAGUCAGGGCACCAUAGGGAGUGGAGGGACCAGAGGAGAUCAAGCUAGAGUUUUCCAAAGGAGUGGUAGCCAGGCAAUAGUGACCUUGUAGGUGUCAAGAAGGCAGAUUGGACGUUGAAAGAAACACUGCAGUUGACGUUAACAUGAUGUUUACAAUUAAUUUGGCUUUCAAAUUUUUCUCCAUUUGAAAUUUUUAGUGUCAUUUGAUUUAAAUGAAAUCUGGU
RNAcentral lists this long non-coding RNA (378 nucleotides) under Homo sapiens (human). RNAcentral describes it as "non-protein coding lnc-ROPN1L-7:1". Lineage: Eukaryota; Metazoa; Chordata; Mammalia; Primates; Hominidae. The record is from RNAcentral.